Molecule: non-coding RNA, 262 nt
Organism: Danio rerio (zebrafish)
Lineage: Eukaryota; Metazoa; Chordata; Actinopteri; Cypriniformes; Danionidae
Source: Ensembl
GACAACGUAAAUACAACUCAACGCAAAUAGCAGCUCGAGAUUGUGUCUGAUGAUUAUUCAUUGAAUUCCCCUUUUCCAGUUCUGCAGUUCACCCAAGAGACCAGGACGGAUAAUGGAGAUUCAGAGAGUGAAAGCUAGAGGGUUUUUCUGGAAACGCCAUGUGCUUUUUCCCAGAGGAUGCACCUGAAGAGAAGCUGAAGCAUUCAUUCAGGCGCUCCGGAGAAAAGGCAGAUUGAAAAUAUUUCAAAUAAAAUGCUUUCUA